UGAGGAAUAUUGGUCAAUGGGCGAGAGCCUGAACCAGCCAAGUAGCGUGCGGGAUGAAGGCCCUUGUGGUCGUAAACCGCUUUUAUCAGUGAAUAAAGUGCAUCACGUGUGGUGUCAUUGCAGGUAGCUGAAGAAAAAGGACCGGCUAAUUCCGUGCCAGCAGCCGCGGUAAUACGGAAGGUCCGGGCGUUAUCCGGAAUUAUUGGGUUUAAAGGGAGCGCAGGCGGGAGUAUAAGUCAGCUGUUAAAUAUCAGGGCCCAACUCUGUUAUGCAGUUGAAACUAUAUUUCUUGAGUACGCACAGGGAUGGCGGAAUUCAGGGUGUAGCGGUGAAAUGCUUAGAUAUCCUGAAGAACUCCGAUCGCGAAGGCAGCCAUCCGGAGCGUAACUGACGCUGAGGCUCGAAGGUGCGGGUAUCGAACAGGAUUAGAUACCCUGGUAGUCCGCACGGUAAACGAUGAAUACUCGCAGUUCGGCCUUUUAGGUCGAGUUGUCCAGCGAAAGCGUUAAGUAUUCCACCUGGGGAGUACGCCGGCAACGGUG
RNAcentral lists this ribosomal RNA (542 nucleotides) under uncultured bacterium. RNAcentral's name for it is "bacterial SSU rRNA". It matches the Rfam family "Bacterial small subunit ribosomal RNA", at positions 355 to 896 of the family's 1533-position model. The record is from RNAcentral.